Molecule: ribosomal RNA, 451 nt
Filed under: uncultured Fibrobacter sp.
Lineage: Bacteria; Pseudomonadati; Fibrobacterota; Fibrobacteria; Fibrobacterales; Fibrobacteraceae
Description: partial 16S ribosomal RNA
Rfam family: Bacterial small subunit ribosomal RNA
Source: RNAcentral
ACGGAAGGCAGCAGUAGGGAAUAUUGCACAAUAGGGGAAACCCUGAUGUAGCAACGCCACGUGUGGGAAGAAGCAUUUCGGUGUGUAAACCACUGUCAUGAGGGAAUAAUGCUUGGCUCCGGCCAAGUUGAAUGUACCUCGAAAGGAAGCACCGGCAAACUUCGUGCCAGCAGCCGCGGUAAUACGAGGGGUGCAAGCGUUGUUCGGAAUCACUGGGCGUAAAGGGAGCGUAGGCGGAGACGCAAGCAGUCUGUACAAUACCGGGGCCCAACCCCGGACCUGCAGACUGGACUGUGUCUCUUGGAUAGUUCAGGGGCAGGCGGAAUUCCUGGUGUAGCGGUGGAAUGCGUAGAGAUCAGGAAGAACACCGAUGGCGAAGGCAGCCUGCUGGGGACUCAUCGACGCUGAGGCUCGAAAGUGCGGGUAGCAAACAGGAUUAGAUACCCUGGUA